This is a regulatory RNA element of 117 nucleotides. It matches the Rfam family "ALIL pseudoknot". The record is from Rfam.
UGCUUAUUUCGCGAUGUCGGAGCUCGACCGCCGCUUCAAACGAUGAUCUCGUUCAUUGACGAACACAGUAGCGUGUUCGGGGUCGAGCCGAUAUGCAGUCUUUUGCCGAUUGCCCCA